GCAGAUUUGCGUUGCGAAAACGCCAAAACUCGUGAAACGCGCGUCAGUGUACCGCGUCUGGCGCGUUGGACUCGCGAAAAAAAUCACGCGCAUCAGUUUUUGUGUUGCAUUUUGUGCAUACGCGUGUUUCGCCUCUACCGCUGGAGUUGGAAAAAUCUGAACUCCAGCGUCAAAUCGCGCCGCAACAACCAAUCAGGAGCCUGGUGACGUGGCUGUAACCUAGGUCAAAGGGGCAGAUCCAGCCAAAGCCCUUCAUUCUUCAAUGGAGGGAAGGCUAAUCAACGCUGUAGCAAACAACCGGAGCUGUACGACACCAGCUGCUUUCUGUACCGAGACAGGAAUAUAAAGGACCGAGCUUGGAGGAAGAUAUGUGAAGAGAUCGGGCAACCUGGUCAAAGUUCCAGAGCAAACGUCUAAACAGGGAUGCCCAGACCUCUGUGUAAACUGCUCCAGUAUGAGAUGACAGUGCAACCUUGGUAGAUGCCAGCUCCCACCACGAAUGAGGCUGACUUUCUGCCAACAAUGCACUCCAAACUCUCAGGUGAAUAAGGAGCAAAACAUUGGUGCAUGGAUCAGGACCUGAUGACACCAGACUCAUUAAAUUUACAUGGGUCCACAAACAUGAAGACUGUUUCUCCACCUCCCAGAGCAAAUGGAAGAAUAGACUAAGGCUGACCAGACCAGAAGGCAUCAAGAAAACAAGUCCACACUUUUCUACUGCAGAUUUAUUGGGAUGCUUGACCAUACUUUAAGAAGUUCUGCCCACUGUAAGUGUAAUUUAGCAUUUUUUCUGCUAUAAUUUUUGGAUUGGCAUUAUAUUAGGGUCAAUUG
This is a long non-coding RNA of Oreochromis niloticus (Nile tilapia), 831 nucleotides long. RefSeq lists it as uncharacterized. The record is from RefSeq and is a predicted model, not a curated record. Lineage: Eukaryota; Metazoa; Chordata; Actinopteri; Cichliformes; Cichlidae. The transcript has 5 exons.